GCAAGCGUUGUUCGGAAUUACUGGGCGUAAAGCGCUCGUAGGCGGUUUGUCGCGUCUGCUGUGAAAACCUAAGGCUCAACCUUGGGCUUGCAGUGGGUACGGGCAGACUAGAGUGCGGUAGGGGUGACUGGAAUUCCUGGUGUAGCGGUGGAAUGCGGAGAUAUCAGGAGGAACACCGAUGGCGAAGGCAGGUCACUGGGCAUUAACUGACGCUGAGGAGCGAAAGCAUGGGGAGCGAACAGG
This 243-nucleotide ribosomal RNA is filed under the name uncultured bacterium. RNAcentral's name for it is "partial 16S ribosomal RNA". It matches the Rfam family "Bacterial small subunit ribosomal RNA", at positions 534 to 776 of the family's 1533-position model. The record is from RNAcentral.